UACGAAGGGGGCUAGCGUUGUUCGGAAUUACUGGGCGUAAAGCGCACGUAGGCGGAUUGUUAAGUGAGGGGUGAAAUCCCAGGGCUCAACCCUGGAACUGCCUUUCAUACUGGCAAUCUCGAGUCCGAGAGAGGUGAGUGGAAUUCCGAGUGUAGAGGUGAAAUUCGUAGAUAUUCGGAGGAACACCAGUGGCGAAGGCGGCUCACUGGCUCGGUACUGACGCUGAGGUGCGAAAGCGUGGGGAGCAAACAGGAUUAGAUACCGGGUAGUCC
RNAcentral lists this ribosomal RNA (272 nucleotides) under uncultured prokaryote. RNAcentral describes it as "partial 16S ribosomal RNA". It matches the Rfam family "Bacterial small subunit ribosomal RNA", at positions 524 to 796 of the family's 1533-position model. The record is from RNAcentral.